UUCGAUUCUGGCUCCAGAUUGAACCUUUUGGCAGGAUGCUUUACACAUGCAAGUCGAACAGCGGCACGGACUUCCGGUGCGGUGGCGAGGAGUGGCAGGCAGGUGAGUAAUAAUGUAAGCUCGGAACGAUGCCUAGUAGCGGGGGGAUAACUACGCGAAAGCGUAGCUAAUACCGCAUACGCCCUUCAGGGAAAGCAGGGGACCUUCCCCGGGCCCCUCCCUUUUAUUAAGAAGCGGCUCAGUAUCGGAUUGUCGGAUUGGUGAAAUGGCACAGCUCGCAAGGCGACCAGCGAUCCGUAGCUGGAUUGAAGAACGACAAUACCGCACGGAGACUGGAACGCAUCAACUCUACAGGAAGGAGCAACGGUAAAGUACGGACAAUGGGGAAACCUGAUCCAGCCACCCCGCGUGUGCGAUGAAGGCCUUCGGGUUGUAAGCACUUUUGGCAGGGGAAAGAAACGGCACGGAUGCCCGUGCAACUGGCUGGUACACCUGCAGAAUGGCACCGGCUAACUACGUGCCGGCAGCCCGCGGUAAUACGUAAAGGGUGCAAGCGUUAAUCAAAUUACUGGGCGUAAGCGUGCGCGGGCGGUUCGGAAAAGAAGAUGUGAGAAAUCGGAAAACAGCACCUGGAACUGCAUUUUUAACUGCCGAGCUAAAUGUAUCGAAGAGGAGGUGAGAUUACGCGUGUAGCGGUAUCGUGAAUAUGCGGGCUGCACCGAUGGCGAAGGCAACCUCCUGGAAUAUUUGCACAACGCUCGCGCACGAGCGUGGGGAGCAAACAGGAUUGAAUGCCGCAGUGAUCCGCCACCUGGCGCUGAUGUCAACUGGCUGUUGGAGGCCUUUCAGACCUUGUGUACAGCUAACAGCGUGAAGUUGACCUUGCAAGUACGGUCGCAGGUCGCUCAAAGAAUUGACGGGGCCGCACAGGCGGUGGAUGAUGUGGAUUAAUUCGAUGCAACGCGAAAACCUUACCUACCCUUGACAUGUCUGGAAUCCCGAAGAGAUUUGGGAGUGCUCGCAAGGCGGAACACAGGUGCUGCAUGGCUGUCGUCGCUCGUGUCGUGAGAUGUUGGGUUAAGUCCGCAGCGAGCGCAACCCUUGUCAUUAAGUUGCUACGAGGGCACUCUAAUGAGGACUGCCGGUGACAAACCGGAGGAAGGUGAGAUGACGUCAAGUCCUCAUGGCCCUUAUGGUGAGGCUUCUACGUCAUGCAAUGGUCGGGGCUGGAGGGUCGCCAACCCGCGAGAGGCCAAUCAGAAACCCGAUCGUAGUCGGAUCACCAGUCUGCAACUCGACUGCGUGAAAAAGUCAGAAUCGCUAGUAAUCAUGGAUCAGCAUGUCGCGGUGAAUACCCGUUCCCGGGUCUUAUACACACCGCCCGUCACACCAUAGAGUGGGUUUUACCGAAGUAGUUAGCCUAACCGUAAGGAGGGCGAUUACCACGGUAGGAUUCAUGACUGGGGUGAAGUCGUAACAAAAUUGG
RNAcentral lists this ribosomal RNA (1486 nucleotides) under uncultured Bordetella sp. Its description in RNAcentral is "partial 16S-23S ribosomal RNA intergenic spacer". It matches the Rfam family "Bacterial small subunit ribosomal RNA". Lineage: Bacteria; Pseudomonadati; Pseudomonadota; Betaproteobacteria; Burkholderiales; Alcaligenaceae. The record is from RNAcentral.